RNAcentral lists this long non-coding RNA (425 nucleotides) under Homo sapiens (human). RNAcentral's name for it is "non-protein coding lnc-FRG1-11:6". The record is from RNAcentral. Lineage: Eukaryota; Metazoa; Chordata; Mammalia; Primates; Hominidae.
GUCUGUUCCUAAGCAUGAAGGAGGACCACAUGAGGAUCCUGGACACCUACUGCAUGAAUGUAUUCACCCUUUCAGGUCUAGGGACCUGCAUCUCCUGGACAGUCAGCCGAGUGUUUCCAUGAUACCAGCCAUACCUGAUGCCAGGAGACUCGCUACACUUGGAAGCUCUUCAAGGUUUAACAUCCUCCCAGGAUGUCAACUGGAAGAUCAUGCCGUUCCUGACAAUUAGAAGUUUAGAGAGUGAGGUGGCUGGAGAUACAGCACGUUGAUUAUCUGUGACACAAUCAGUCAGAAGCAGGACCACAUGAAUUCUCCAUCAUCAAACAAAAUGACUGGCUUUCUGUGUGAUUCUUCACACUGUGAAUGCAGCUACUAAUAACACUGAUUUUACUUCAGGCAAGAGAAACAGAGCCUCUCAUUUUCCU